CCGCGACCUACACGCACCGCCGAGAUACAUCUCCUGACACCGCCAAGAAACUCAACACGGUGCAUGCCAUGGUGUAGUCAAACACCGAGAUCCAGCUUGAGGGAAGGCAGCUCCUUGACGAGACACCAAGACGAACGAGUGAACACCAACCACCUACCACACCGACAGAGACCCAUCAUACAGAUCCAAGCCGGGUGAGUUUGAUAUGUAACUCACGCGCCUAUACCUCUGGCCAAAAGACAGAUUGACGAAGAGAUCUGAAAACCUCAA
Molecule: long non-coding RNA, 270 nt
Filed under: Brassica napus (rape)
Lineage: Eukaryota; Viridiplantae; Streptophyta; Magnoliopsida; Brassicales; Brassicaceae
Description: long non-coding RNA (BNAP_LNC019777)
Source: RNAcentral